This 194-nucleotide ribosomal RNA is filed under the name uncultured eukaryote. RNAcentral's name for it is "partial 18S ribosomal RNA". It matches the Rfam family "Eukaryotic small subunit ribosomal RNA", at positions 1 to 192 of the family's 1831-position model. The record is from RNAcentral.
GAAACCUGGUUGAUCCUGCCAGUAGUCAUAUGCUUGUCUCAAAGAUUAAGCCAUGCAUGUCUGAGUAUAAGCUUUCAAACGGCGAGACUGCGAAUGGCUCAUUAAAACAGUUAUAGUUUAUUUGAUGGUCGUUGUCCUACAUGGAUAACCGUAGUAAUUCUAGAGCUAAUACAUGCGCAAAGACCCGACUUCAC